AUGAACGCUUGCGGCGUGCCUAAUACAUGCAAGUCGAGCGAACAGACGAGGAGCUUGCUCCUUUGACGUUAGCGGCGGACGGGUGAGUAACACGUAGGUAACCUACCUAUAAGACUGGGAUAACUUCGGGAAACCGGAGCUAAUACCGGAUAAUAUUUCGAACCGCAUGGUUCGAUAGUGAAAGAUGGCUUUGCUAUCACUUAUAGAUGGACCUGCGCCGUAUUAGCUAGUUGGUAAGGUAACGGCUUACCAAGGCAACGAUACGUAGCCGACCUGAGAGGGUGAUCGGCCACACUGGAACUGAGACACGGUCCAGACUCCUACGGGAGGCAGCAGUAGGGAAUCUUCCGCAAUGGGCGAAAGCCUGACGGAGCAACGCCGCGUGAGUGAUGAAGGUCUUCGGAUCGUAAAACUCUGUUAUUAGGGAAGAACAAACGUGUAAGUAACUGUGCACGUCUUGACGGUACCUAAUCAGAAAGCCACGGCUAACUACGUG
Molecule: ribosomal RNA, 496 nt
Filed under: uncultured bacterium
Lineage: Bacteria
Description: partial 16S ribosomal RNA
Rfam family: Bacterial small subunit ribosomal RNA
Source: RNAcentral